UAUCCUACGGGGGGCAGCAGUGAGGAAUAUUGGUCAAUGGGCGGGAGCCUGAACCAGCCAAGUCGCGUGAGGGAAGACGGUCCUAUGGAUUGUAAACCUCUUUAGGCGGGGAGCAAUGCCGGGCACGCGUGCCCGGAGGGAGAGUACCCGCAGAAUAAGCAUCGGCUAACUCCGUGCCAGCAGCCGCGGUAAUACGGAGGAUGCGAGCGUUAUCCGGAUUUAUUGGGUUUAAAGGGUGCGUAGGCGGUUUAAUAAGUUAGAGGUGAAAUGUCCGAGCUUAACUCGGGAACUGCCUCUA
This 298-nucleotide ribosomal RNA is filed under the name uncultured bacterium. RNAcentral describes it as "partial 16S ribosomal RNA". It matches the Rfam family "Bacterial small subunit ribosomal RNA", at positions 335 to 629 of the family's 1533-position model. The record is from RNAcentral.